UACAUUCCAGAUGAAUUCCAGAGGUUCUCGCUGCCUCUGGACACUGCAGCGCAUAACGGUCAUCUGGAGCAGCACCACAAAAAGUCCCUCUCCAGCACAUGACUUAAUCAUGCAGAUGUCCUUAACUUUUUAAAAUUUCUCCACAUGACCAUAUAAUCCUGCCAUUACAGUAACUUUAUUUUCAUCAAAGCUAACAUGGAGCCUGCAAGACCAUGUUGCACUGUGAGGCUCCAGAUGCAUGAACAAUAAUAUACUGUAAUGCUAAAUAUCCAUAAGAAGAACAGAGAACAGAUUCAGUGUUGUCAGCUGGCAUGGCAUAAAUAUAUUCUUUGUUUUUGUUGAAUCCAUGGUGAUCCAUCAGAUGAUGUGUGAUGUUUAUCACAAGGAGCACAAAGAAUAUAUAAAUAUGAACUAAAGGCAUUGUUUGAGCCACAUGCUAUUGUAUGAACCUAGACUACCCAAGCAGUACUUUUUACUUUUUUACUGGAAUGUAGGCUGCAUGGUGAAUUAGUGGUUAGCAUGUAGGCCACACGGUCAGGAGAUCAAGAAGAUGGGUUCCAUUCUCCACUUGGAUAUCUCUAUGUGGAGUUUGCAUGUUCUCCCUGCACAUGCGUGGGUACUCUAGUUUUGCUAUAUCUAUUUUAUUUUAAUUUGAAAUGCUUCAACUUAAAAAAAAAUCUGUACUUUUGUAUUAUUUAUUUACUAUUUUAUUGUUUUAAUAUGUCAUCUUUUUAUUAUUAAAAUAAACUUUAAAAUUUUAGUAUGUGUAUUGUGCAUUUUAGAACAUGUUUUGCGUUUUUGUUUAAGUUGUAAACUAAGAAAACAACCGUCAAUUGAUUAUGAUGUCAUAUGUAGGCGACGUUACCGACAGGCCUUCUUUACCCUGAUUGGUUAAUAACUCAAUUAGCUUCACCUGGACCUUACACCUCCGAGCAUAAGCGAGCUAAGCAUCAACUACCUGGCAAUGUUUUGCAACGAAAACAUGAAUAAUUCCACUUUGUUUUUAUUUAUAAUAGCCAUUUAUGCCUUCCACCUCUGCGGGUCCAUGUCAACAGUGUCGCGGGGGGGCAGUAAUUUCCCCCACGGAAACCAGGAGUCAGCCUCAACCGUGCGAGGACUCGUUAAACAAUAUACACACCGCGGCUCCCUGGAUAGUCAGCUUGCCCAAGGAAGAAAACUACGCGAAUCUGAAGCAUCUUAUGUGAAACAUCUUUCAAAGUCCAGUAAGCCAGAAGAUGAUAAACCUGUUACCCAGAACAUCGUGUCAUGGAGCUGGACCAAUGGUACAGUAACCACACAGCAAAGAGUGGCUCACACUAAAGAUGGAUUUCAAGGAGAUGUCGCAGGAUUUCAUGGAGUUCAUGGCAAGGCACUGGUGCCAUCAUCUGUCUCCUUUCCACAUGUCUCUGAGUGGCUGGCAAUGAACCCUGUGCUAAUGUGUUAUCACGAUGCCAUGACAUUCACAGCCUACAGACAAGCAUUCACACAACUCUUUGUGGACACAGGGAGAGCUUAUCCUCUCUCCCUGCUACAGUUACCUCCAAAUUGUGGUUACACUGUGAGGACAUCCAGCACUGACCUUCAAAUGAUUGUGCCGUAUGAUGCAUGCUACAUUACCCAGGAGAAUGGCAGUUAUGUGCUUCCUAUGCUUUGGUGGAACAGCCCAUUGAAGCUCGUCUGUCCAGCACAGAUAUCUACACCUGUGUCGAUGAUCCCUGACAUCCUCUGCUCUCCAUACGGCAUGGCAGUGCAGCUAUACCAGCAGGAGAAGGAUCUCCCAAUGCUGGGAGUCCUAGUAAAUGGAGUUUGGGCUCAAUUUGUGUCUACCCAGUGUGCCUACCGUGUCGACUCCCAACAAGAGAAUCUUAUCUUCUUCGUCUCUUUCAUUGCUCCUUGUAUCACCAUUGGAGAUAGACUGCAAGUCCAGCUUGUUUUUGAUAAGCAAGAAAUUAUCCUCUCAUGCCCUGUCCCCUCAACUGCAUCUCCUUCACGUCCUGAUGGUACACGGCAUAUACCAGGUACUGGUAGUCGUUCACCCCUGUUUCCUUCUCCUUCUCCAGUCCAGGAACCAAUUGCUCCACUUCCCGAUGAUCUCCACACUACAUACCGUGAAUACCCAUACACUAAAUUUCCGCAGUUCUACCCUCCUAGUCCGCAGCCUGCUGGCCCAAUUCCGCUCUCUCCUGGCAGUCUUCCUGGAGCCCCAUCACCUCAUCAAAUCCCAUCAAAUGCUUUACCUGGUGCAUUUGGAGUUUCAGUCCAGGAUCAGAUUGCUAAUCCUGAUUAUCUCCACAUUGUUCACUCUGGGUUUCCGUAUCCUAUUUUUCCUCAUUUUUCUUCUCCUGGAUUUCAGCCUGCCAGUCCCACUAAACCCAACUCUCCUCAAGUUCCCCGCCAACCCAAACUUCAGGAUUAUCUUCAGACACCUUUCUAUCUAACACCUACUAUAGCACCUUCCAUGCAUGGACAAGCUGCUCCUCCUUCCAGCCGACUUUUUCAUUCACCUAAACAUCCCUCUGGGCCACAUCACCAACUUCCACCCAGCUCAUUUGGUGUUUACCAUCUUUAUGCACACUUGUUCGACCCAAAAGAAGCUGACAUAAGGCUGCCUCCUAUGUCAUACCCUAACAUUAUGCGUCCACCUGAAGCAACACCCACCCAAAAACCUGCCAUCCCCAGAUAUCUUUUCCCCCAAGCCCCACUUUACUUCUUCCCGCCUCCACAUUCAGAACGGCUACAUCCCACCUGCCCCCCCUAUGCUAACACAUUUUGUGGCUACUACCAGCAUCCUGAUCCUUUUAGCUUCCCCUCCCAUUUGUCAGUACACCCUGCUGUGCCCCAGUACCCAACCGAGUCAGCGGCAGCUACACAAGAACCUGUGCCGCCCUCCCCAUCUAAACCCACUCCACCGCCCCCAUCUUAUCACUGUGAAGUGGGCAGUGUUGUAGUCUUUCUGCCUACUGCUCACCCACACCUUAUCCAGGUGAAAGAUCAAGAAAGAUGGCAGUCCCUAUCCAGUGUGUGUGGGCAUAAAAUACACAAGCCAACAAUAUCGACAGUAAUACUUUAUUCUCCUCUGCCUGGCUGUCACACCAAGUUACUGUCUCCCAUGGUCAUGUCCUUGUCCGUGAGGUAUUUGGACUUUUCAUCGAAGCAUUAUCUCACGAUGGACCUACAAUGCCCAUACCAAAGUUCCACUCCCCCACCAGUUACCCCAUCCACACCACCAACCCAAUUCGGCAAGAUUCUGAUAAACCGUACAGCUCCUCUGAAGCCCAAAGUCUUCUGCUCCUCCAGACAGAUGCUUGUGGAGCUUCCACCUGGUCCCAUCUCUGGAAUUGUUCUUAAAGAUGCACAAGGGAAGGAGACAAGUGUCCAGGAUGUUCCACAACACUGUGGGUAUUCUGCUAACAUGGGAAAAGAUGGCAAAAUCCAUUUGAGACUUCAGUUACAUACAAGCUGUCAAAUGAGUGUGCAGGAUAAUAUGUACAUCAUCACCGUUGCCUAUAUGACUCAAAGUAGAAAAACCGGGGCUCAGUUUUACUGUCCAGUUUCCAACUCUUUAGCUGGACAAGAGUGUAGCCUUCCCAGCGAACAACGUCUCCCCUGUGGCCAAGGCCCUAUAUCUCAGCCAUCAUGCCUCUCCAUGGGCUGCUGCUUCAGCAAGAACCCCCCUGUCUGCUAUUACCCCAUAGAUGAGUGCACAAUUGACCGCCACUUUGUCUUCUCUGUUCCUGCAUCACUCACGGAGCCACCCCUGUCCCCGUCCCUCUUGGUGGUUGCCAACAACUCCACCUGUAAACCAGUAAAAGCUACUUCCGAAUAUGCCUUGUUCAAACUCCCCAUGGAUGGCUGCGGGGCUCGCAGAAUGGAAAUGGGGAAAUCUUUGAUAUAUAUGGUGGAAGUUGUCAACAUGGUUCAGACGAUCAGCCUUAAUUAUGGCACCAUCACUAGAGAUUCUCCUGUUAGGUUGCUGGUGGAGUGCAGGUAUGUACCAGGUAGUGUCCGAACUGUGAGCUACUUGGUAAAAACUCCCACUCUUGGGCCGACCGUCCAGACUCAAGGGGUAUUUGGUGUGCAACUCAGACUUGCCAAAGAUGCUCAGUACACCAGCUACUACCCACAGUAUCACCAGCCCCUGCAGAUGCUACUGGGGAAACCCCUCUACCUGGAAGUGCGGAUGCUUAACGCCCCGGAUCCCAGUUUGGUGCUGCUGGUGCACUACUGUGUGGCUUACCCACGCUCUGGAAAAGCUGUGUGGGUGCUGCUUUACAACGGAUGCCCCAACCCGUUGGACCCAGCCACUCAGCAUGUUGUGCUGUCUCAUCCUCAACCACCAUCCCCUCAGGGUCAAACCCGUCGCUUCACGAUGAGCACCUUUCAGUUCCUUCCUGAUGAUGAGAUUAAGGAUCCAGAUGAGGAGAUUUACUUCAUGUGUUCAACUGAAGUCUGCUCGCCGCGUGAUGGCCCAUGUGUCGAGGGUUGUUUUGGUCAAUGAUGAUGGACAAUGAUUUAGUAAUGAGAGCUUUGAAUUAUUUAUCAAGACUGAUCCAUUUCCUGUUUUGACAGUUAUGGAAUGGGAGACUCGAUUGCAACAACCUGGCAGCAGACAUUGGCCAUUUAACCACCAUUUAAAAAAAAGGCUCUUCAAGGCCAUAGAGGGUGUAUAUAUGUGUGUCUGUUAAGAUGGCCAACACUCAGCAUUGCAAGUACUCAAUUUAAAAUAAAGUGUGAGGCAUUGUUUACACAAGCUUGCUUAAGAUUUUAAGUGGCUUAAUUGUUUUUUUUUAAUGUGCAUUAGAGAUUUGCAACAAGAACUACUAGUUUUUAUUUUACUGGCUUCCUCUUUGUUGGCGUUUCCAUUGUGAGCGUUCUUCUGAUAGGGCUCCAAAUGUGUCUGGUGAUAGGAUGGCAGUGCAGACUGCAAUUCAUCCCUAUUUAGUGGAACACUCAUACUGUAUGUGUUGGGUACAUGUGCAACAAAGAAUUAUCGUCCUCAUGUGGUCCCGCUCUAGUAGCCUUAGCACCCCUCUGUCAAGUCUAAGACAUCUGUGUGCCCCAUCACAUAGCGCCCAGUUUUUGCUCAUUAUUUCUUUCACCCCACCCCUGUCUGGUGCCAGGUAAACAAUGGACAAUUUAAAGAGACCGCUCCACUUAUUAAUCGGUUCCUGUGCAUUCAUUGAAUGCUAGCACCAUUGUAGUAUGUGCCUUCUGUCUUUUACAUUCAAAUUAAGUUAAUUGAAUUUACAGAAAGUGUGCAAUAAUUACUUAAACCAAAGUAGGCAGGUGUAUAAAUUUGGGCACCCUUGUUUUAUUGAUUUAAAUACCUUUUAGAACUAAUUAUUGGAACACAAAAUUAAUUUGAUAAGCACAUUGACCCUUGACCUACAUACACAGGUGAAGCCAAUCAUCUACAGAACCGUUGGAUGCAUAAGAGCAUAAUAUGAGCAUAUGAGCAUAAUAGGUCCCCUUUUAAGGGAUCAGCUGACCAGGUUUGGCCCACGAGUCAUAGUUUGCUCACCCGUGCCUUAUAUAUUUUAAGUUGAU
Non-coding RNA from Doryrhamphus excisus (bluestripe pipefish), 5547 nucleotides. NCBI's taxonomy places the organism in Eukaryota, Metazoa, Chordata, Actinopteri, Syngnathiformes, Syngnathidae. The record is from RefSeq and is a predicted model, not a curated record.